UGGCGAACGGGUGAGUAACGCGCGAGGAACCUGCCUCAAAGAGGGGGACAACAGUUGGAAACGACUGCUAAUACCGCAUAAGCCCACGGGUCGGCAUCGACCUGAGGGAAAAGGAGCAAUCCGCUUUGAGAUGGCCUCGCGUCCGAUUAGCUAGUUGGUGAGGUAACGGCCCACCAAGGCGACGAUCGGUAGCCGGACUGGGAGGUUGAACGGCCACAUUGGGACUGAGACACGGCCCAG
This 240-nucleotide ribosomal RNA is filed under the name uncultured bacterium. RNAcentral's name for it is "partial 16S ribosomal RNA". It matches the Rfam family "Bacterial small subunit ribosomal RNA", at positions 96 to 334 of the family's 1533-position model. The record is from RNAcentral.